Molecule: long non-coding RNA, 873 nt
Organism: Harpegnathos saltator (Jerdon's jumping ant)
Lineage: Eukaryota; Metazoa; Arthropoda; Insecta; Hymenoptera; Formicidae
Exons: 2
Source: RefSeq, a predicted model, not a curated record
AGUUAAGGAAAGGAAAAUAUUCCAAAUAUAUCUUUGAUAGACAAUACUGGAAAAAAUUGUGAAGAAAAAAUACAAGUUACUAUAGAUCCCAAAGAUACUCCAAUAAAUCUAUUAGAACCUAGGAUGACUCUAAUAAAGCUCACACGUCAAGACUCUGAAAAAUAUAUUAAGAAUAGUCAGCAACCAUUAGCGUUUAUUGAAAACACUAUUCCAUCAAAAAUUACACGAAAACGGAAAGCACGUCAACCUUGCAGUCGUUGCAGAUAAAAAUAACCAUAUAUAUUUUAAGAUAUACGUUAUAUUUUAGUAUGCGUGCUUCCUACUGUUCUUUUGUUGGCUUGUUAUAUAAUUGUUAUGUAAUUAUGUAACACACAUUGUUUCGGAAAUGUUUAUAACACAUAUUAUUAAAGAAAAUAACUUUGAAUAUUAGCAUAUAAGUAAUGUUUAUAUAAUUCACCUUAAAGUAUUGUGAGAGAUUAGCAGUAAAUACUUUCAACCUAAUCUUGCAUACAGCCUUAGUCUACAAUACAUUUCAGUACGUAAUGCUUAACAUAUAUAAUACUGUUAUAUUGGCAACAAAUCGACUGUCUUAGAAUAUGUGUGCGAUAAACGUCAUAAAGAAUAUGUAUUAAAAAAAAUGCUGACAAUUCUAAAUAUUUUUAUACACUUCAAAUAAAAGUAAGACAUGUUUAUGGCAUAUAUAUUUUGUAUACCGAUGAAAUUUGUGCUUUGCAAAUUGAACAAGUUUUAACAUCAUCACUAUCUUGCAUGAUUUAACUAGAACAAUCUGCACAAGUGCAGAAGUGACCGCACAGUAUGAAAAGAUGAGUCGAUUCAGCAAUACUACACAUAAAUAAUGCACGUACGAUCAGA